Betta splendens (Siamese fighting fish) is the source of this 2788-nucleotide long non-coding RNA. RefSeq lists it as uncharacterized. The record is from RefSeq and is a predicted model, not a curated record. The transcript has 2 exons. NCBI's taxonomy places the organism in Eukaryota, Metazoa, Chordata, Actinopteri, Anabantiformes, Osphronemidae.
GCACCGCUUCCUAAAGACACAGGCAGGAGAUGGAGUGCAAGGUGUUUCAAUGCAAGGAAGGAAUUUAGUGCUCAAAUGAGCAAAGCAGUCUGAGCUGUGUGAUCUUGGGUCGUAGCUUUUCUAAAAUGUGAUCGAUAUGUUCACACGAAACCCAGCAAACACUGUCUUGUCUUUGUUCCACAGACACAUUCGAUUUGCUUUGUUAUACAUAUGCACUUAGUGAGAAAAUCAUGUGAAAUGUGGAAAAUGUUUAUUUUUCCAACUGGAAGCACCGGCUCCUAAUGAGCUAGCUACCUGCUGUACGCCGUUUCCUCCACCUGCCUGAGUGUCAAUGUUACCCCACGGACCCUCUGAGGAAACGGCCGUGUUCCUCAGCCAGACAGAGGCUUCAUUAUCCCCGGUGUGCGCCGUAGCACAGGAGGCUGCUACGCCCCGGCAGAGGGAGCAGGCCACGUUGGCAUCGCCCAAGAGGAGUCCCCGCUGGCCCUGACUGGGUGGGGAGACAGAUGGUGGGGUCCGACUUAAAGCCCAGCACCAACCCACCACACGGCCGACAGCCUCUUUAACCCCCCUCACACACACGCACACACACACACACACACACACACACACACACACGCAUGCACGCACACACACACACACAUAUGCAUGCACACGCACACGCACACGCACACACACACACACACACACACACACACACACACACACACACACACACACACACACACACGGUGAAUUAUUCAUGUGCCCUGCAAAGUCUGACAAAAAGACCUUCUGAGGUGCAGGUAUGGCGGGUGAUGGUGGCAUUUACAUGGAGCCUGCAUAAUUACGCUUGUGCACAUGUGAGUGUUUUCAGAAGAGCUUGUCAUAAGUUGGCUGGAUGGUGGGAAGCAACAACUACCAAUAUAUUUAUGUUGUCCUUCGUCCAGCUUAGAAGGAAGCUAUUUUGUGUUAUUACUGCAAAUGGUUGCGAUCCAGACACACAAGACGGUGCAGAGACUAUAAGAAUGAGCAGGGGAUGGAAAAUCAUAAAAUAUGCAUCUUAGAUCCACUGUGCCGCCUUCGGAGCCUGGGGAGUUAUUCUCUUAAUUGUGAGUUAGUCUUCACUUAAAAUCUGAUAGCGCUGUAGAUCCAUUAAACUCACAGAGAGGUGAAAAGUGCGGCCGGCGCGCGAUAAGGAGGUGAGCGGGAGCCAAAGUCUAAUGGGCCUGGGCCGCUUCGCCCCCACACCCGUGCAGUCAUCAUGUGAUAAUUGGGAGAUACUGGGGGGGAAUCUCGGAGGAUCUCUCUCUCAUUGCAGCGGUGACUGCGCUCAAGGCUGUUACAGUUUACCACAGAAAAGGCAACUCGCCGUCAGUGGGCCUGUGUUAAAUAAUGUGUUACACACAUUAGCAGCAGCACUGAGGCUUAACCGCUAAAUCAAAGGUUGAAACAAGGAGCCUGGAAACGCAUGGUGGCAUGGGUUUCAGUCAGUCGGGCUUUUCUAUGAGUCUGAAGAGGAAUAAGAGCUCUGGGUGUAAUUGUCUUGACCUUUAAAUCCAUGACUAUUUCUAACAAUGCUUCCUCACAGACUGAGCAAGAAGCUCUCACCCACACAGGUCAAGAAAUUCACCCAAAACAUCAAUAUCUAGGAGAAAUCUGCAUAUGAGCUGGAAGUUAGAAAGUCACAAAAACAGAAACACAAUCGAUAAAAAACAACACAAAAGUCUAAAGAUGAAAUCUUGAUUCUGGAUUUCUAGUCCAGUGAGCGGUACCUGUCAUUUCUACAAACGCAAACAUUAAGAGCUCUUCGCUAACAUCACAUAUCACAUGACAAUUGUCUAUCACUUUAUCAUUCGUGUCAUGUUCUAUGUCUUUUAUUUUUUGAAAAACAAAAUUUCGCCCUCAGACUAUUUUUCUAUAAUUUAUCAGGUGUAUUUACAAAAGGAGUGUAACCUUUUUUUAAAGGAGUCAUAUCAUGCUUUUCAUUCUAAAAAAUAUUUGACUUUAAUGUCUCAGUAAGGUCUCUGUAAAUUUUCAUCCCAUAAAACCCUUUAGAUCGUCCACACUGCCCCUGUCAAUAUGUGGUUCUCACUCCCCAUCAGCAAACGCUGUGUUUUCUGGGCGUGUCGCAAGCGAAGCUGCUCACCACACCUCUGUGCGGAAGCGCAUACCUUUUUUGUUGUUGUUUUUUUUUUUUUAAAUUGGCUCCAUGGAUACGAGCCACCGCACGGUUAGGAUACAAUAGGUGGCAGUAGUGCGACAUUGAGAAUGCAAUCCACCACAGAAGAAGACGACCCACUACAGAACUGCACGACAUUAGUCAGCUGGUUCAUAGCGUAGUAGAACCAUACGUCUACGAUCCCGAAUCUGACCCUGAAGCUGAAGAGGAGGCUGUUGAAGUCACCACAUUUCGGCUGAUGCAAGAUGUGUCUCAUUGUUGUUACAGGUAUCUAGUCUACAGAGGCUAGUGAGCUGGUGCUGAGGAUUCCUGGGGUGAAGAAUCUGAGUUGCCAUCUCUUCAUGCUUGGGUUGUAGAUGAAGGCAGUUUCCUGAUGGAUAAAACACUAAAACACUCAUAGUAUGAUUGAUGUAGACCACCUGUAGAAUAACUCCUUUACCGUUUGAGUAAAAAUGUGUUUUUUGUGAGUGCAACACUCAUUAAGAAUUUUUUUAACUUUAUUUAUAUAUAAUUUAUAUGCGUUUUAUUUAUGGCCGCUUCAACUUUAUAGCUUACCAUAUUAGAAAGAGAAAAACAUGUAAUUUCAAUACUAUGAUUUCCUAAAUAAAAGUGUUUUCCCUUCAGAAA